This is a non-coding RNA of Microcebus murinus (gray mouse lemur), 382 nucleotides long. The record is from RefSeq and is a predicted model, not a curated record. NCBI's taxonomy places the organism in Eukaryota, Metazoa, Chordata, Mammalia, Primates, Cheirogaleidae.
AUAAAUGCAGGGCUCGGCAGGCAGCAGCAGAACUCCCUGCUCAGCAGACGGGUUCUCCGCCGCUCCGCCCGGCCCUGCGCGGCCCAGCCCUCCGCCGAGGACCCCAGAACACAGAACCGUGCCCCCGUGUGAGACCCCACUUUUCACAGGAGUGGGGGCCAUGGAUCUAGACGCCUCGGAAGAGGAGGGGACGAGGCUGAGAUGCCGGCGGGGUCCACACGUGGGCUCUGGGUUGGGGCGACUGCUGCUUCUUAAUGUGGGUGUUACCGUUUGUGAUCCUGGGCACGAGUGGGUUUUCUGAUCCGAAAUGUCAACAGAGCUAAUUGCAUUUAAAUCCAUGGAGUGUGGUGAAGUUCUGACAAUAAACAGAAUUUGGAGCUAA